GGGCCCUUAGCUCAUCCGGUAGAGCGCUUCCAUGGCAUGGAAGAGGUGAGCGGUUCAAGUCCGCUAGGGUCCA
RNAcentral lists this transfer RNA (73 nucleotides) under Candidatus Kaiserbacteria bacterium. RNAcentral describes it as "tRNA-Ala". It matches the Rfam family "tRNA". From Rfam's summary of the family: Transfer RNA (tRNA) molecules are approximately 80 nucleotides in length. Their secondary structure includes four short double-helical elements and three loops (D, anti-codon, and T loops). Lineage: Bacteria; Candidatus Kaiseribacteriota. RNAcentral also lists the same sequence under 2 other names. The record is from RNAcentral.